AUUGAACGCUGGCGGCAUGCCUUACACAUGCAAGUCGAACGGCAGCACGGGGGCAACCCUGGUGGCGAGUGGCGAACGGGUGAGUAAUACAUCGGAACGUGCCCGGUAGUGGGGAGUAGCUCGGCGAAAGCCGGAUUAAUACCGCAUACGACCUACGGGUGAAAGCGGGGGACCGCAGGCCUCGCGCUAUUGGAGCGGCCGAUGUCAGAUUAGGUUGUUGGUGGGGUAAAGGCCCACCAAGCCGACGAUCUGUAGCUGGUCUGAGAGGACGACCAGCCACACUGGGACU
Molecule: ribosomal RNA, 289 nt
Filed under: uncultured bacterium
Lineage: Bacteria
Description: partial 16S ribosomal RNA
Rfam family: Bacterial small subunit ribosomal RNA
Source: RNAcentral